RNAcentral lists this transfer RNA (85 nucleotides) under Felis catus (domestic cat). It matches the Rfam family "tRNA". From Rfam's summary of the family: Transfer RNA (tRNA) molecules are approximately 80 nucleotides in length. Their secondary structure includes four short double-helical elements and three loops (D, anti-codon, and T loops). Further hydrogen bonds mediate the characteristic L-shaped molecular structure. tRNAs have two regions of fundamental functional importance: the anti-codon, which is responsible for specific mRNA codon recognition, and the 3' end, to which the tRNAs corresponding amino acid is attached (by aminoacyl-tRNA synthetases). tRNAs cope with the degeneracy of the genetic code in two manners: having more than one tRNA (with a specific anti-codon) for a particular amino acid; and 'wobble' base-pairing, i.e. permitting non-standard base-pairing at the 3rd anti-codon position. Lineage: Eukaryota; Metazoa; Chordata; Mammalia; Carnivora; Felidae. The record is from Rfam by way of RNAcentral.
GCCUGGCUGGCUCAGUCGGUUGAGCGACUGACUUUGGCUCAGGUCAGUAUCUCACGGUUUGUGAGUUCGAGCCCCGUAUCAGGCU